CACCCUGUGCGUGGAUGUCGCUGGCCUGU
RNAcentral lists this non-coding RNA (29 nucleotides) under Homo sapiens (human). The record is from RNAcentral. Lineage: Eukaryota; Metazoa; Chordata; Mammalia; Primates; Hominidae.